This 789-nucleotide non-coding RNA is filed under the name Neoceratitis asiatica. The record is from RNAcentral. Lineage: Eukaryota; Metazoa; Arthropoda; Insecta; Diptera; Tephritidae.
UAAAAGUUUAAUUUUAGCUUAAAAUUUUGUUAUUAAUAUAUUUUAUAUGUAAAUUUUUGUGUGAAUUUUUAUCUAUUUUAAUAAUAAAUAAAUUUAUUUAUAAUCUCAGUAAUUAAUUUUAUUAAUCAAGGUAACUUGUAAAUAGUAAUUUUAUUAAGUAUUGGUUAAAUUUGUGCCAGCAGCCGCGGUUAAACAAAUAAUACAAAUAAAAUAAAUUUAGUGGAAGUUAAUUUUAAAAUAAAAAAAAUAAAUAUAAAUUUAUUAGGUGAAAUUUUAAAUUUAUAAAUUUUUAUUUAAUAAAAUAAUGAAGCUUGUAAAUUUUAAUUAAAAACUAGGAUUAGAUACCCUAUUAUUUAAAAAGUAAUUAAAAACACUAAGGUAGUAUUAGUUAUGUUCUUGAAACUUAAAAAAUUUGGCGGUAUUUUAGUCUAUUCAGAGGAACCUGUCCUGUAAUUGAUAAUCCACAAUGUACCUUACUUAAAUUUGUUUUUCAGUUUAUAUACCGUCGUUAUUAGAAUAUUUUAUUAGAAUAAUAAUUUUCAAUAAUUUUUAUAAGAAUUUAUAUCAGAUCAAGGUGUAGCUUAUAUUUAAGUAGAGAUGGGUUACAAUAAAUAUAUUUAAAUGAAUUUAAUUUUCAAAAUUUUAAUGAAGGUGGAUUUGAUAGUAAAAAUUAAAAGAUUAUAGUUUUGAUUUUAGCUCUAAAAUAUGUACACAUCGCCCGUCACUCUUAUUAUUAAGAUAAGAUAAGUCGUAACAUAGUAGAUGUACUGGAAAGUGUAUCUAGAAUGA